RNAcentral lists this small nuclear RNA (104 nucleotides) under Castor canadensis (American beaver). The record is from RNAcentral. Lineage: Eukaryota; Metazoa; Chordata; Mammalia; Rodentia; Castoridae.
GUUGUCUUAACCAGUACACACACUGAAACUGGAAUGGUACAGAGAAGAUUAACGUGGCCAUGCACAAGGACAACAUGCAAAUUCCUGAAGCGUUACAUAUUUUA